AUCCGGGUGGGCAAACUGGCAAAGCCGCCUGCUUGAGGGGCAGGAGAUUUUACGGGUUCGACCCCCGUCCCGGAUACCA
This 79-nucleotide transfer RNA is filed under the name marine sediment metagenome. RNAcentral's name for it is "tRNA-Leu". It matches the Rfam family "tRNA". Rfam says of the family: Transfer RNA (tRNA) molecules are approximately 80 nucleotides in length. The record is from RNAcentral.